This 377-nucleotide ribosomal RNA is filed under the name uncultured eukaryote. RNAcentral's name for it is "partial 18S ribosomal RNA". It matches the Rfam family "Eukaryotic small subunit ribosomal RNA", at positions 592 to 976 of the family's 1831-position model. The record is from RNAcentral.
CAAUAGCGUAUAUUAAAGCUGUUGCGGUUAAAAAGCUCGUAGUUGGAUUUCGGGUGGGAAUGGCCGGUCCGCCGUUUCGGUGUGCACUUGCUACGCCCACCUUGCUGCCGGGGACGUGCUCUUGAGUUCACGCUCGGGACACGGAGUCGGCGAGGUUACUUUGAGUAAAUUAGAGUGUUCAAAGCAGGCCUACGCUCUGAAUACAUUAGCAUGGAAUAACACGAUAGGACUCUGGCCUAUCUUGUUGGUCUGUAGGACCGGAGUAAUGAUUAAGAGGGACAGUCGGGGGCAUUCGUAUUUCAUUGUCAGAGGUGAAAUUCUUGGAUUUAUGAAAGACGAACUACUGCGAAAGCAUUUGCCAAGGAUGUUUUCAUUAA